Molecule: non-coding RNA, 247 nt
Organism: Rattus norvegicus (Norway rat)
Lineage: Eukaryota; Metazoa; Chordata; Mammalia; Rodentia; Muridae
Source: RefSeq, a predicted model, not a curated record
GUAUGGACUGAAGAAACUGAAGGGGAGGGCAGCCUCUAUAGGAAGACCAACAGUCUCGAAUCAUCCCCACCCCUGAGAUCUCCCAGACACUAAGCCACCAACCAGGGUAUCUUUGAACUUGGGACAUCUUGCCACAUUCUAGGUGCUGAGACUACAUUCAGGCAUUUUCCAGCUUUCUUUCCUUUAUCUUAGUAAGAUGUGUUAGAUUAAAUAUGUUAAUAUUAUGCAGUAAAUCCUCCAUAUGUUU